AUUUACUCUGCCCAAUGAUGAAAAUUUAAUGGCCGCAGUAUUUUGACUGUGCAAAGGUAGCAUAAUAAAUAGUUUUUUAAUUGAAGACUAGGAUGAAGGAGGGGAUGAAAUUUUAACUGUCUCUAAUUAAAAAAUAAAAAUUUAUAUUAAGUAAAAAAUCUUAAAUAAAUUUAAGGGACGAUAAGACCCUAUAGAAUUUUAAAUUUUUAUUAAAAUAAGAUUAAAUAAUUUAUUGAUUUAUUUAAAUAAAAAUUUUUGAUUGGGAGGAUAUUAAAAUUUAAUAAACUUUUAAUUUUAAAAAACAUUAAUUUAUGAAAUAUUUAAUAUAAUUAUAUAAAUAAAAUAAAAUUACCUUAGGGAUAACAGCGUAAUAAAUUUUUAAAGUUCAUAUUAAAAAAUUUGAUUGCGACCUCGAUGUUGAAUUAAAAUAAAAUUUAAGUGUAGAAGCUUAAUAUUUAAGUCUGUUCGACUU
Molecule: ribosomal RNA, 472 nt
Filed under: Chrysis germari germari
Lineage: Eukaryota; Metazoa; Arthropoda; Insecta; Hymenoptera; Chrysididae
Description: partial 16S ribosomal RNA
Source: RNAcentral